GUCUUCCCCGCGCGCCUUGGAUCUGGGGCAAUAGCUGAGAGGGCGUCACCAGCGUGUCGGCGCCUGCGGUUUUCUUCGGGCUGUCCCCAGGCGUCGUGCCCGCGUCCGUCACGCGCGGUGGCUUGCAGGGGCGCACCGCGACAGCCUUAAAGGAAAACCUGUUAGGGACAAGGGCUGCUGUGGGCAGCGAGGGUUAUAGACUCAUGUGUGUUCUGAAUUCUGGUGGGGGUAGUGAUGGACGCUGACCCAGUUCACAGAAUUAUCUGACUGGCGAAGUAAAGGAAAAAAGGUCAAGGUGAACUGAAGAAAAUAAGUCUUUCCCCAAAGGAGGUAGAAGAUGGGGAAGAUGAGAUGUCAGAAGCUAAGGACAAUGGCAGUAGAGAUGAGGUUCUUGUCCCUCAUAAGAAUUGCAGGAAGAAUACCACUGUCCCGGGAAAGAAAGGGGAGGAAAAGUCUCUGGCUCCUGUGUUUGCUGAGAAGUUAAUAUCACCAAGCAGGAGGGGAGCCAAGCUCAAGGACCGUGAGAGCCACCAGGAGAAUGAAGACAGGAACAAUCAAAAUGCCAAAACACUUUUGAUCAAGAACCUGCCUGACAAAGUCACUCCACAUGAAUUAAAAGAAGUGUUUGAGGAUGCUUUUCAAAUCAGAUUAGUGAGCAAAGAUGGGAUGAGUAAAAAGAUUGCAUAUAUUGAAUUCAAGUCACAAGCUGAGACAGAGAGAGCCUUGGAAGAAAAGCAGGGAACAGAGAUUGAUGGGCUUGCCGUAGUUCUCGACCAUAUUGGAGAGAAAAGCCAGGGCCAAGAAACUAGAGAUAGAAAGAACAGCACCUGGAGAGGUGAGGGGUCCCAGAGCUCUGAGGAUUGAGAUUUACCAGGGUUGUCACAGGUGGAUCCCAAGGGAUCCUCUGGUAUGAGGUUAGGGGCACUCGGCACUUUAUUUUUUUAUUAUUAUUUUGAGACAGGGUCUCACUCCCUUCGCCCAGGCAGGAGCG
This 991-nucleotide long non-coding RNA is filed under the name Homo sapiens (human). Its description in RNAcentral is "non-protein coding LINC00471:5". The record is from RNAcentral. Lineage: Eukaryota; Metazoa; Chordata; Mammalia; Primates; Hominidae.